GUGAACGCUGGCGGUAGGCCUAACACAUGCAAGUCGAACGGCAGCACAGUAAGAGCUUGCUCUUACGGGUGGCGAGUGGCGGACGGGUGAGGAAUACAUCGGAAUCUACUUUUUCGUGGGGGAUAACGUAGGGAAACUUACGCUAAUACCGCAUACGACCUACGGGUGAAAGCCGGGGAUCUUCGGACCUUGCGCGAUUGAAUGAGCCGAUGUCGGAUUAGCUAGUUGGCGGGGUAAAGGCCCACCAAGGCGACGAUCCGUAGCUGGUCUGAGAGGAUGAUCAGCCACACUGGAACUGAGACACGGUCCAGACUCCUACGGGAGGCAGCAGUGGGGAAUAUUGGACAAUGGGCGCAAGCCUGAUCCAGCCAUACCGCGUGAGUGAAGAAGGCCUUCGGGUUGUAAAGCCCUUUUGUUGGGAAAGAAAAGCAGCAGGUUAAUACCCCGCUGUUCUGACGGUACCCAAAGAAUAAGCACCGGCUAACUUCGUG
Molecule: ribosomal RNA, 491 nt
Filed under: uncultured bacterium
Lineage: Bacteria
Description: partial 16S ribosomal RNA
Rfam family: Bacterial small subunit ribosomal RNA
Source: RNAcentral